Molecule: ribosomal RNA, 440 nt
Filed under: uncultured Anaerolineae bacterium
Lineage: Bacteria; Bacillati; Chloroflexota; Anaerolineae
Description: partial 16S ribosomal RNA
Rfam family: Bacterial small subunit ribosomal RNA
Source: RNAcentral
CCUACGGGAGGCAGCAGUGAGGAAUAUUGCGCAAUGGGGGAAACCCUGACGCAGCAACGCCGCGUGGGUGAAGAAGGCCUUCGGGUCGUAAAGCCCUUUUCUGGGGGACGAGGAAGGACGGUACCCCAGGAAUAAGUCACGGCUAACUACGUGCCGGCAGCCGCGGUAAAACGUAGGUGGCAAGCGUUAUCCGGAAUCACUGGGCGUAAAGGGCGUCUAGGCGGACGGGUAAGUCGUGCGUGAAAGCUUCCGGCUCAACCGGGAGAGGUCGUACGAUACUGCCUGUCUUGAGGGUCGGAGAGGGACGUGGAAUUCCCGGUGUAGCGGUGAAAUGCGUAGAGAUCAGGAGGAACACCGAUGGCGAAGGCAGCCCCCUGGGUUGGCACUGACGCUCAUGCACGAAAGCGUGGGGAGCAAACAGGAUUAGAUACCCCGGUAGU